RNAcentral lists this ribosomal RNA (494 nucleotides) under uncultured bacterium. RNAcentral describes it as "bacterial SSU rRNA". It matches the Rfam family "Bacterial small subunit ribosomal RNA", at positions 28 to 511 of the family's 1533-position model. The record is from RNAcentral.
GAUGAACGCUAGCUACAGGCUUAACACAUGCAAGUCGAGGGGCAGCGGGAUUGAAGCUUGCUUCAAUUGCCGGCGACCGGCGCACGGGUGAGUAACGCGUAUCCAACCUUCCGUACACUCAGGGAUAGCCUUUCGAAAGAAAGAUUAAUACCUGAUGGUAUGAUGAGAUUGCAUGAUAGCAUCAUUAAAGAUUUAUCGGUGUACGAUGGGGAUGCGUUCCAUUAGGUAGUAGGCGGGGUAACGGCCCACCUAGCCAACGAUGGAUAGGGGUUCUGAGAGGAAGGUCCCCCACAUUGGAACUGAGACACGGUCCAAACUCCUACGGGAGGCAGCAGUGAGGAAUAUUGGUCAAUGGACGAGAGUCUGAACCAGCCAAGUAGCGUGAAGGAUGAAGGUCCUACGGAUUGUAAACUGCUUUUAUAAGGGAAUAAAGUGAGUCUCGUGAGACUUUUUGCAUGUACCUUAUGAAUAAGGACCGGCUAAUUCCGUGCCAG